This 468-nucleotide ribosomal RNA is filed under the name uncultured bacterium. RNAcentral describes it as "partial 16S ribosomal RNA". It matches the Rfam family "Bacterial small subunit ribosomal RNA", at positions 28 to 507 of the family's 1533-position model. The record is from RNAcentral.
GAUGAACGCUGGCGGCGUGCUUAACACAUGCAAGUCGAACGGUGAAGGCGGAGCUUGCUCUGCUGGAUCAGUGGCGAACGGGUGAGUAACACGUGAGCAAUCUGCCCCUGACUCUGGGAUAAGCGCUGGAAACGGCGUCUAAUACUGGAUACGAGCUGCGAAGGCAUCUUCAGCAGCUGGUAAGAAUUUCGGUCAGGGAUGAGCUCGCGGCCUAUCAGCUUGUUGGUGAGGUAAUGGCUCACCAAGGCGUCGACGGGUAGCCGGCCUGAGAGGGUGACCGGCCACACUGGGACUGAGACACGGCCCAGACUCCAACGGGAGGCAGCAGUGGGGAAUAUUGCACAAUGGGCGAAAGCCUGAUGCAGCAACGCCGCGUGAGGGACGACGGCCUUCGGGUUGUAAACCUCUUUUAGCAGGGAAGAAGCGAAAGUGACGGUACCUGCAGAAAAAGCGCCGGCUAACUACGUG